This 347-nucleotide long non-coding RNA is filed under the name Homo sapiens (human). RNAcentral describes it as "non-protein coding lnc-WIF1-6:25". The record is from RNAcentral. Lineage: Eukaryota; Metazoa; Chordata; Mammalia; Primates; Hominidae.
AGCCAUUUGGAGGUAUGAAGAGAUCUUGGAAAUAGAGGCCAUGUGUGUUGAAACAAGACCGAACAACUCCAAGUUCCUGAAGACUUCAUUUCACCAACCCAGAACCUCCUUGAUCAUCACAGUGGUCGAACCAUUUUACAUUUUCACCAGCAAUGAAGGAGGGUUCCUGUUGCUCUACCAUUUGGUACUGUCAGCGUUUUGGAUAUUAGCCGUCCUAAUAGCCUUUGCAUGGAUGAUUGUCUGUCCUCUGUUGGGCCCCUUCUGAAGAGUUGGAGUUGGACUCUGAAUACCUCAAGAGUGGGAGAUUGGUCUUGCCAAUCAGAGAAGCUCCAGGGCUAGCCUAGUGC